GACGAACGCUGGCGGCGUGCCUAAUACAUGCAAGUCGAACGCACAGUUUAUACCGUAGCUUGCUACACCAUAGACUGUGAGUUGCGAACGGGUGAGUAACGCGUAGGUAACCUGCCUGGUAGCGGGGGAUAACUAUUGGAAACGAUAGCUAAUACCGCAUAAUAUUGAUUAUUGCAUGAUAAUUAAUUGAAAGGUGCAAUUGCACCACUACCAGAUGGACCUGCGUUGUAUUAGCUAGUAGGUGAGGUAACGGCUCACCUAGGCGACGAUACAUAGCCGACCUGAGAGGGUGAUCGGCCACACUGGGACUGAGACACGGCCCAGACUCCUACGGGAGGCAGCAGUAGGGAAUCUUCGGCAAUGGACGAAAGUCUGACCGAGCAACGCCGCGGGAGUGAAGAAGGGUGUCGGAUCGUAAAGCUCUGUUGUAAGAGAAGAACGGGUGUGAGAGUGGAAAGUUCACACUGUGACGGUAGCUUACCAGAAAGGGACGGCUAACUACGUG
Molecule: ribosomal RNA, 505 nt
Filed under: uncultured bacterium
Lineage: Bacteria
Description: partial 16S ribosomal RNA
Rfam family: Bacterial small subunit ribosomal RNA
Source: RNAcentral